GAUGGGUUGUUAUGCUUUGGGCAAUGCUGCUGGAACCCUUGAUUCGUUGAACCCAUUAAUCAGAGACCACCAUAUUCUAACCUUUUUGCCCUUUGAAUUCCAGCGUAAUGGAAAGCUAAUUGGGGCGCUUCGGUUUUUGGAUUUGGAUAUGAUCGUCCCAUUAGUCUGGUUACAAGGUAGUGAGGCUUUGCCACUGGCCAGUGUCUUUGCUUGUCUGAUCAGUUAUUUGACACAAACUACCUUGUAACCAGAGAG
RNAcentral lists this unclassified non-coding RNA (255 nucleotides) under Hevea brasiliensis (rubber tree). Lineage: Eukaryota; Viridiplantae; Streptophyta; Magnoliopsida; Malpighiales; Euphorbiaceae. The record is from RNAcentral.